GUGCACCAGUCGCGAAUCUUCCACAAUGGACGAAAGUCUGAUGGAGCGACGCCGCGUGCGGGAUGAAGGCCUUAUGGGUUGUAAACCGCUGUCAGGGGGGAAGAACAUCGGAAUGAACAAUACUCAUUCCGACUGACGUUACCCCCAGAGGAAGCUCCGGCCAACUCCGUGCCAGCAGCCGCGGUAAUACGGGGGGGAGCAAGCGUUGCCCGGAAUUAUUGGGCGUAAAGGGCGUGUAGGCGGCGAGGUAAGUCGAAUGUAGAAAUCUCACGGCUCAACCGUGAAACUGCGUUCGAAACUACCCUGCUU
RNAcentral lists this ribosomal RNA (309 nucleotides) under uncultured microorganism. RNAcentral describes it as "bacterial SSU rRNA". It matches the Rfam family "Bacterial small subunit ribosomal RNA", at positions 346 to 643 of the family's 1533-position model. The record is from RNAcentral.